AUGGCAGAAUGCUUCAAUAAGGUUCUCAAGGGUGUACGUGCAUUACCCGUGACAGAAAUAGUUCAAUACACAUUUGACAAGAUGAAUGAAUACUUUUUAAAGUACUCAAUGAAGACUGAUAAGCAGAUUGCUGGUGAGAACAAGGAUAAGCGCAAGUACAAUUUCCCACCAAAGGUUGAAGAAUGGUUGGAAUUUCAAUCACGAAAGGCAGACUCCGAAGAAGCUGUACUAUAUGAUGACAACGAGUGGAAGUAUGAGGUGAAAGAGCUCGGAGGAACCACAAACGAUGGCUGCCAACACGAAGGCCGGGCUUUCAAGGUCUCCCUAACACGGUGUGAUUGCAGCUGCAUGAGGCCGUCUUUGCUUCAUCUGCCAUGCUCGCACUUGUUAAAUGCAUCCCGGGUUAGGAAUGUGGACGUCAAUCACCCUCUUACCGUGAGGGAGUCCGAGUUCUCAAUCAUGACGGUAAAGAAUACAUGGACUCCACGGUUCCAGCCAUACAUGGACCAAUCACAAUGGCCGGAGUAUCAUGGAGUUCAACUAUGGCCGGACCCGGAAUUGAAGAGAGGAAGAAGAAGAGAGGAAGAAGAAGAAACUACAUGGACCCUGAUUUGGACAAGUAUAUGUGCUAUGUGUGUAUGA
RNAcentral lists this ribosomal RNA (642 nucleotides) under Triticum aestivum (bread wheat). RNAcentral's name for it is "partial small subunit ribosomal RNA". The record is from RNAcentral. Lineage: Eukaryota; Viridiplantae; Streptophyta; Magnoliopsida; Poales; Poaceae.